Molecule: unclassified non-coding RNA, 242 nt
Filed under: Hevea brasiliensis (rubber tree)
Lineage: Eukaryota; Viridiplantae; Streptophyta; Magnoliopsida; Malpighiales; Euphorbiaceae
Source: RNAcentral
GCUCAACCACCGGAAAACUCCAGAAACCGCUUUGAUUGACCCCUUUCCAUCUUCCACACUUGCUUCUACCCUUUUCUUUCUCCCCAGAUCUCUCCUUCCCUCCUUCUUUCUCUCCCCACUUUGCUCAAUUCUAAUUUAGAUUUGUUCCUUUUCAGUCGAAUCAGAUAUGAAAUUGCCCACUCAAUUUCUCGUUUCGCCAUUUUCUAGGUUUGAUCUGUAAAGUUUUGAUUUUGGGGUUUUUU